GCUGGCGGCAGGCCUAACACAUGCAAGUCGAGCGGAAACGAUCCUAGCUUGCUAGAAGAUGACGAGCGGCGGACGGGUGAGUAACGCGUAGAAAUCUACCUAGUAGUGGGGGAUAGCCCAGAGAAAUUUGGAUUAAUACCGCAUACGCCCUACGGGGGAAAGCGGGGGAUCUUCGGACCUCGUGCUAUUAGAUGAGUCUGCGUCGGAUUAGCUUGUUGGUGAGGUAAUGGCUCACCAAGGCGACGAUCCGUAGCUGGUCUGAGAGGAUGACCAGCCACACUGGAACUGAGACACGGUCCAGACUCCUACGGGAGGCAGCAGUGGGGAAUAUUGCACAAUGGGCGCAAGCCUGAUGCAGCCAUGCCGCGUGUGUGAAGAAGGCCUUAGGGUUGUAAAGCACUUUCAGCAGUGAGGAAAGGGGUGUCGUUAAUAGCGCCAUCCUGUGACGUUAACUGCAGAAGAAGGACCGGCUAACUCCGUG
RNAcentral lists this ribosomal RNA (481 nucleotides) under uncultured bacterium. RNAcentral describes it as "bacterial SSU rRNA". It matches the Rfam family "Bacterial small subunit ribosomal RNA", at positions 35 to 507 of the family's 1533-position model. The record is from RNAcentral.